GGUUUCUGCUAAGUCGCAAGACGAUGUAUAGGAGCUGACGCCUGCCCGGUGCUGGAAGGUUAAGGGGAUCUGUUAGAGCAAUCGAAGCAGUGAACUUAAGCCCCAGUAAACGGCGGCCGUAACUAUAACGGUCCUAAGGUAGCGAAAUUCCUUGUCGGGUAAGUUCCGACCCGCACGAAAGGCGUAACGAUUUGGGCACUGUCUCAACAACAGACUCGGUGAAAUUGUAAUUCCGGUGAAGAUGCCGGAUACCUGCGACAGGACGGAAAGACCCCAUGGAGCUUUACUGUAGCUUGACAUUGGGUCUUGGUACUACAUGUACAGGAUAGGUGGGAGGCUUUGAAACCAGGACGCCAGUUUUGGCGGAGCCAUCCUUGGGAUACCACCCUUGUAGUACUGGGACUCUAACCAUAGGCCAUGAAUCUGGUCUUGGGACACUGUCAGGUGGGCAGUUUGACUGGGGCGGUCGCCUCCCACAAGGUAACGGAGGCGCUCAAAGGUUCUCUCAGUACGGUCGGAAAUCGUACGUAGAGUGUAAAGGC
RNAcentral lists this ribosomal RNA (542 nucleotides) under Clostridioides difficile. RNAcentral describes it as "bacterial LSU rRNA". It matches the Rfam family "Bacterial large subunit ribosomal RNA", at positions 1818 to 2358 of the family's 2925-position model. The record is from RNAcentral. Lineage: Bacteria; Bacillati; Bacillota; Clostridia; Peptostreptococcales; Peptostreptococcaceae.